CCAGGCUGGCACACUGUGGCCAGCCACCCGGCUCCACUGACUGGCGGUUUCGUGUCUGGCUCCCUGAGGUCCAGAUGGUCCCAACACGUCCCUGGGGGGUAAGCAGACUCCUGCCCAAACUUGAACUCACAGCUCCAGCCCCCAGAGGCUCCGAGCCAGGACCCCAAAGGAGGGAGAGCUGGCCCCAUGGACUGCCUCACCCUGGCUCUCCUGCCCUGUGGCUUCUGGUUGAAUUCAGCCAAUGGGAGGCACCAGCAGAUAAUCUGAAGAUGGGAGGAGAGAGAGGCACCUCCAGCAACCUUGCUAGACCACAGUGCGGAGGAAGUCCCAUGAAGAAAUAAAGAACAUGUGGUGAAUCACAGAGAAGUGGCUGAAAAGAUUCAAGCCUCAACCUUGGUCCUCCCUAGUCACAUGACCACAGGCAAACCUCUUCUCUCUCAGCCUCAGUUUUUGCAUCAGUGCAAUAGGAAUGGUAUCUGCCAUGCUAACCUCACAGGACUGCUGUGUGUUCAGAUGAAUCAGGACAAGUGUUUCCAAAUACCCUGGCGACAUCACUUCAUUAAUGCUAAUGGGAAGUC
RNAcentral lists this long non-coding RNA (578 nucleotides) under Homo sapiens (human). Its description in RNAcentral is "HSALNT0106456". Lineage: Eukaryota; Metazoa; Chordata; Mammalia; Primates; Hominidae. The record is from RNAcentral.